GUCAGAGCCACUGAAAGUGAAGCACAACUCACCAUAAACAGGACCUCACAAGCCAUAAGCAUGAAAUUAGAUCUAAAUAUUGAUUUACUCCAUAUAAAUGUAUGUGCAAUUCCAGCCUCUGAGCUCUCUGCACAAGGAGAUUUAAUGCCUUUUCAGAAGCACAAGACUGAAACCAAAGCUGUGUUACAGUGCUCAUCACAAACUAUGCUUCGUGUUUCCCUCAGCAAGUAGCCCAUUUUGGAGCUCUCGUCCUUCACCCCAUGGGGCAGGUCGGAGCUCCCUGCACACCCUCUGCCUGGGUCUCCCCCAUGUGUUGCUCGGGCCCACCCUUAGGCCUCACUCAGGCCUGCAUCGGGCCUGCGCGUUGCCAUAGCGACGAGGCGUUGGCCGCCUACCCCUUUAAGAGCGUUCUUGGAGGCCGGAAGUGGCUCCGCGCGGCGCUCUGGUUUUCUCUUCGUCUCUGUGGUUUUCCUGCCUUUCUGCUUCCGGUGGCGGGCACCGCGAGGGGCGGCGUGGCAGGGGUCUGGGCCUGGGGUGGUCAUAGGCCGAGCUGGAGGUCAUAUUGCGGGCUGGAGGUGAGAAUAUGGGAGCUAGGUUAGUCAUUCUGGGAGUGAGGGUACAGAGGUUUGGGGAGGAGGGGUCAUAUAGCGGCUUGGGGUUAGCGCACGGGGUAUGGGAGGAAGUAGAAGGCAGAGGGGACAUGUUGGGGUCUGGGGUCAGGGUAUGGGGGGUUGCGGACAGUCAUAUUUUGGGCUGGAGAUGAAGAUACAGGGGUUUGAGAUGGUUAUACGGGGGGCUAGAGUUAAGGGUGGAGGUGAGGCUGGAGUAGAACCAGAGGGGUCAAAUUGAGGCCUGAGAGACAGGGCAGGAGAGGUUCAGAGGGUCUUAUUGGGGCUAGGGGUCAGGGAAUGGGGGUCUGGAGUAAUACUGGGGUCUGAACAGUGAGGGUGCAAGGGCUGGGGGGUUCAUAUUUGGGCUGAGGGGCAGGGUGUGAAGCAGGGAGAUGAAGGCUUGAGCAGGGCUGGGGAAUCAUUUUGCAGGCUGGGGAUCAGGGUAUGUAAGACUGGAAGGGGCACAGUGGGCACUGAGAGGCAGCAGGGUGCUGUGAGUAGUGGGGCUGUGGGGAGUAGGGACCGGGAGGGGAGGGGUGCAAAUGCAUAGGGAAUGUUCCUUGAGCAUCACAUGUCACGGGAUAUGGGGUGGUGGUUGCUUCUGGAAGAAAUACAGCCCCAACUCAUGGCUGAAGAUCACUAGGUCUUCUUGGGAAGCCAGCAUUCAUCAGGUGAGUGGGACCAAGGCAAGGCCAAUGACUCAUGUGCUCUCUCUGGGUGGGCAGCAGCCACACAGGAGGCCUCCAUGCCUGCUGGUGCCAUGGUAGGCUGAGGGCCUGGGGAUGGCUGCUGGCGGCUGUGUCUCAGCCUGGUGCCUGCUGGCCUUACCCGUGCCCCAGAUCAACCUCCAGAGGUCCCCCUGCUGGGUUCCUCCUAUGCAGUAACAGGUGUGAGCAUCCAUGCAGCAUUCUGAUGGUCAUGUAUGAUACUGCACACAACGAGUUGCUGUCUUCAGCCAAAGGAAAGUACUCUUUACAGCUUCAGGACUAAUUUCUGUAAUGUGUACUGCAUCUUUUAGAAGCUGUCUCAUACUAUUAAACUGACAUUGCCCUUCCUUUACAGGCAGGUUUUAGAUGUGGAAAGUAGAACUUAGGUACACUGAUGAUAGUUUUUUACCCCUUGAUUUAUCACAGGUAGUAUCUGAGUUCCCAAACUUUAUAUCAUGUAAUAGGGAAUACCAAUAGGCUGGUUUCUUUACUUGAACAAACGAAGGUUCUGUUGAAAGCCAUGUACUUUGCCCUCCUGUUACAUCUGCGCUUUUCUUUAGUGUUGACUUUUCUCUACAACCAAGGAGUUCAGCUGAGGUCCCAGCUAAGGCCCUUGUGUGUUCUUGCAGGUGUGGGGCAGGCCUGGAUUGGCAGCUGGCACCCAAACAGCCCAGGCUUCUGAAGAAAAAAUCAUAAUAGUUCACCACCACUAAAAAGGCACUUUAUUUUUGGUGUCUGGCACUGGUGUGUGGUCAAAAUGCUAUAGGAAAGGAUUUUAAAACAAGCAGGGGGUGGGAUGCUGUUUUUAUGAUCUGUUUCAGUUGAUGCUGGUGCAUAGAAGGUCUAUGUGGGGCAGUGGUCUCCAGCUUAAGCUGGCUUUCUUGCUAAAACCCUGACUGGGUAAUGGGCUCUGUUCAGAAAACACUGCACAGUGCUUAGGCAGUCUCCAUUUUAAUUUGCUUUCCUGUGGCAGUAAAGCAGUCCUGAGGGGUUUCUCUCAAGCAGCUUACUGUGCAUGAGCUAGAGGCUUUUGGGCUUUUACAGGAAGCUUGCCUGGGAUCAUGAGAGGAGCUGAAGUGUAGGUGUUAUUGCUACAGCCAGCCAGCAGCAGGGAGGGCCAAGUUCAGCACAUGACUGAGAUGACAGAAGUCUAAUGCUCAGCUCAUUUUUCAGUAAGGGAUUUGAACAGAGAUGCCAGAUGUUUAGCAGGGCCCAGGAGCAGGCAAAGGGAACAGCAUACAUUACUGGGUGCCUGCAGACGUGGGGCACUUCCAGUUAAAUCUGUGCAGUCGCCAGCAGCUAUUUGAAUGCAUGGGGCUAUCCUCAUUGGCUGUGCCCAGGGGAGGGUCCUACUUUGAGAUAGGGGCAGGCAUUAGGUCCUCUGGUCCUCCUCCACAGCGGGAUUGAAACCAAAGCCUGUAUAGAUUUGUGAGAUGAUAAAGUAACUGCCUUCUUAAAUGACACGCACCUUUGGCAAAGUGUUUGUUUCAACAGUGUCAGGCAGGCACAUGUUCAGAAUAACCUUGCUUCAAAGUGUGCCAGGCUGCCUGCAGCUCUCUGAGCUUGCAAGAUACUUGUAGAUAAAGCACAGUGCUUCCCAGUACUGCAUUCAGCUGAUGGGCUGAAUGCUUAUUGCUUUUUCUCACCCCUGUCAACUCUCUUUUUCUUGCAGCCCACACCUAAGUAUUGUACCUUAUGUAAAACUAUAGCAAUGAUGCAAUUUAACAUCAUCCUUCUGGUCCUUUGUGGACUGUAAGGUGAAUUUUGCUGCCUUCUGACUUCAGCCAACCGUGACAGUUGUGCUUGGAUUCAAAUACAUGGUGGCUAAAUGAAGGUGGAGUUUCUUGGGGGAGGGGGGUUGGCGCCUGAGCUGCUGCCUGGGCUCUUGUCUGAGGCUUAGAAACAGUGGCCUUCCAGUGUAUGCAUCACUAAGUACUGUGCUUAAUGCUUGCUGCUCUUUAUGUAGGUGUUCCUGCUGACCAUGGAGUGGCUGCUGGAUCUGCACAUUCACCAAGGUGGCUGAACUGAAGAUCUGUCUGCAUUAUGGCGAGAGUGCUGCUCCUGCAGUUCUGUUUGUUUAUACCUGUGUGGUCUCUUCAGGCUAUAGAAGGUAUUUUUGCCAAAGUAGAUGGUAAAUGUGAAUAAAUUGUAGUUCUUCAAGCUCAUUGUCUUUCUUUCUUAUUUAACCCCUGGUAUUGUGAAUAAUGUAGGAAGGAUUUUAACACGCUGGAGGUGUGCAUUUAGGCAAGGAGGCGCAUAAAGCUUUUUCCUGUGCUGACGCCUGUGUCCAGGGCAGCCAUGCUGGAGGGUUGUGGUGCUUUCAAGAUCUGUAGGAGUGAUUCAUUCCUGACAGUUAAUAAAGCAAUCCUGAAGAAUGUGAGAGCACGUUUGCAGUGCGCUGAGCUCUAAUCUCCACUAGAGGGUGUGAACGUCUGCAAGAAGGGUUGUGUUUCAUUGAAACUGGGAGACUUUGUUUAAUCGGAUGUGCAGGCAGUAAGACUGUGGCAGGAUUAUGUUCCAGUUGAAAAACUGCUCUCUGUGUUGGCAGCAGCCCAAGUUGCAUCUGCUUUAUGUAACCCAUCAGCUGCACUCGCUGUGAAGCCCAUGUGAUGCUCAGCCCUUGCCAUCGUGCAUCCUGUCAUGCUUUUGGGCAAUGUGUGUGUGUGUCCGGGGGGAGGCAGCUCUGCUCUGUGUUGGGUACUGCUUCCAAGUUCCCUUUCAUCUGAACAGUAAUAUCUACCCUUGCUAAGCAAGCAGCAAAUAGUAAGUUGUCAUUUGCACUGCAAAGAACCUGGUUUGGGGGUUUCUUUUUGUAGGGGGAAUUUUCACUGAAUUUGCAAUAUUCCCAAUGCAGAUCAAACCUGAGGCUGGUGUGCUUUGGAACCAUGCUGGCUGCUGAGCUGACACAGGCUGUGUGUGAGCUUCCCCUGUGCUUGGUGCUUAUACGGAGCUCUUCUCACAGUGGACGUACAGCUCCUUAACUCCUUUUGCUUCUGCAAAAAUAGUAAUGCUCUCUCUGGAGGUUUUAAUUCAGAGUAGGUCAGCAAGAAGCUGGUCACAGUGUUUUUUUCCCAGCUCCUGCUGGGCGCUGCUGUGUCACAGUCAUGUGCAUGGACUGCUGAGAAUGACCCCCAGCUCACACAGAUUCUUGCUACAAAAGCAGUGUGGG
Molecule: long non-coding RNA, 4487 nt
Organism: Gallus gallus (chicken)
Lineage: Eukaryota; Metazoa; Chordata; Aves; Galliformes; Phasianidae
Source: Ensembl